This 231-nucleotide ribosomal RNA is filed under the name uncultured bacterium. RNAcentral describes it as "partial 16S ribosomal RNA". It matches the Rfam family "Bacterial small subunit ribosomal RNA", at positions 15 to 237 of the family's 1533-position model. The record is from RNAcentral.
GAUCCUGGCUCAGGAUGAAUGCUAGCUACAGGCUUAACACAUGCAAGUCGAGGGGCAGCAUGGUCUUAGCUUGCUAAGGCCGAUGGCGACCGGCGCACGGGUGAGUAACGCGUAUCCGACCUGCCUUACACUCUUGGACAGCCUUCUGAAAGGGAGAUUAAUACAAGAUGUUAUCAUGAGUAAGCAUUUUCGCAUGAUUAAAGGUUUACCGGUGUAAGAUGGGGAUGCGUU